GCCCGGCUAGCUCAGUUGGUAGAGCAUGGGACUCUUAAUCGCAGGGUCGUGGGUUCGAGCCCCACGUUGGGCG
This 73-nucleotide transfer RNA is filed under the name Nematostella vectensis (starlet sea anemone). It matches the Rfam family "tRNA". Rfam says of the family: Transfer RNA (tRNA) molecules are approximately 80 nucleotides in length. Lineage: Eukaryota; Metazoa; Cnidaria; Anthozoa; Actiniaria; Edwardsiidae. The record is from Rfam by way of RNAcentral.